UGGGGGAUAUUGCACAAUGGGCGAAAGCCUGAUGCAGCGACGCCGCGUGGGGGAUGAAGGCCUUCGGGUUGUAAACUUCUUUUGCUCUGAACAAGGCAUGCCUUUGGGGUGUGUUGAGUGUAGGGGUUGAUUAGCGCCGGCUAACUACGUGCCAGCAGCCGCGGUAAUACGUAGGGCGCGAGCGUUGUCCGGAAUUAUUGGGCGUAAAGGGCUUGUAGGUGGCUGGUUGCGUCUGUCGUGAAAGCUCAUGGCUUAACUGUGGGUUUGCGGUGGGUACGGGCUGGCUUGAGUGCAGUAGGGGAGGCUGGAAUUCCUGGUGUAGCGGUGGAAUGCGCAGAUAUCAGGAGGAAUACCGGUGGCGAAGGCGGGUCUCUGGGCUAUUACUGACGCUGAGGAGCGAAAGCGUGGGGAGCGAACAGG
Molecule: ribosomal RNA, 420 nt
Filed under: Fusobacteriota bacterium
Lineage: Bacteria; Fusobacteriati; Fusobacteriota
Description: Fusobacteria bacterium partial 16S ribosomal RNA
Rfam family: Bacterial small subunit ribosomal RNA
Source: RNAcentral